UACGUAGGGUGCGAGCGUUGUCCGGAUUUAUUGGGCGUAAAGCGAGCGCAGGUGGUUUAAUAGGUCUGAUGUAAAAGGCAGUGGCUCAACCAUUGUGUGCAUUGGAAACUGUUAGACUUGAGUGCAGUAGAGGAGAGUGGAAUUCCAUGUGUAGCGGUGAAAUGCGUAGAUAUAUGGAGGAACACCGGUGGCGAAAGCGGCUCUCUGGACUGUAACUGACACUGAGGCUCGAAAGCGUGGGUAGCAAACAGG
RNAcentral lists this ribosomal RNA (252 nucleotides) under uncultured microorganism. RNAcentral describes it as "partial 16S ribosomal RNA". It matches the Rfam family "Bacterial small subunit ribosomal RNA", at positions 524 to 776 of the family's 1533-position model. The record is from RNAcentral.